This is a non-coding RNA of Sceloporus undulatus (fence lizard), 409 nucleotides long. Lineage: Eukaryota; Metazoa; Chordata; Lepidosauria; Squamata; Phrynosomatidae. The record is from the annotation of a RefSeq genome assembly.
UGAUAUGGCUGCAAGACCCACUCAGUUCUGCUAUGGAAAUUUUAAACUCUGUUCCCUCCUCUCCCUCUAUUUCCUCUCAUGUGCUUUACCCAGCAGUGACUCUUCUGUGACAGUGACUCAGGAGCCACUAUUUACAAGCUUGGUGCAGGGGAAAACAUUUACAGUUGGUUGUUUUAUUCAUGGCUCUGGAUACAAUUUCUUCUGGUAUCGUCAGCUGCCAGGGAAGACAGAGCUACAAGUGCUUGUGAGCCUCUACUAUCACAGUGAUGAUCUGCAAGAUAUUCUUGAUUCUACUCUCAAGAACCGUCUGGGAGGGAAAUGGUUGACCAAGGGAGCAAGAAUGAGCCUGACCCUCCAGAGUCUUCAGCUUGAUGACACAGGGCUGUAUCUGUGUGCUGUGAGAGACACA